This 1343-nucleotide ribosomal RNA is filed under the name uncultured bacterium. RNAcentral describes it as "16S ribosomal RNA". It matches the Rfam family "Bacterial small subunit ribosomal RNA", at positions 28 to 1378 of the family's 1533-position model. The record is from RNAcentral.
GACGAACGCUGGCGGCGUGCUUAACACAUGCAAGUCGAACGGAAAGGCCCUGCUUUUGUGGGGUGCUCGAGUGGCGAACGGGUGAGUAACACGUGAGUAACCUGCCCUUGACUUUGGGAUAACUUCAGGAAACUGGGGCUAAUACCGGAUAGGAGCUCCUGCUGCAUGGUGGGGGUUGGAAAGUUUCGGCGGUUGGGGAUGGACUCGCGGCUUAUCAGUUUGUUGGUGGGGUAGUGGCUUACCAAGGCUUUGACGGGUAGCCGGCCUGAGAGGGUGACCGGCCACAUUGGGACUGAGAUACGGCCCAGACUCCUACGGGAGGCAGCAGUGGGGAAUAUUGCACAAUGGGCGGAAGCCUGAUGCAGCAACGCCGCGUGCGGGAUGACGGCCUUCGGGUUGUAAACCGCUUUCGCCUGUGACGAAGCGUGAGUGACGGUAAUGGGUAAAGAAGCACCGGCUAACUACGUGCCAGCAGCCGCGGUGAUACGUAGGGUGCGAGCGUUGUCCGGAUUUAUUGGGCGUAAAGGGCUCGUAGGUGAUUGAUCGCGUCGGAAGUGUAAUCUUGGGGCUUAACCCUGAGCGUGCUUUCGAUACGGGUUGACUUGAGGAAGGUAGGGGAGAAUGGAAUUCCUGGUGGAGCGGUGGAAUGCGCAGAUAUCAGGAGGAACACCAGUGGCGAAGGCGGUUCUCUGGGCCUUUCCCGACGCUGAGGAGCGAAAGCGUGGGGAGCGAACAGGCUUAGAUACCCUGGUAGUCCACGCUGUAAACGGUGGGUACUAGGUGUGGGGUCCAUUCCACGGGUUCCGUGCCGUAGCUAACGCUUUAAGUACCCCGCCUGGGGAGUACGGCCGCAAGGCUAAAACUCAAAGGAAUUGACGGGGCCCCGCACAAGCGGCGGAGCAUGCGGAUUAGUUCGAUGCAACGCGUAGAACCUUACCUGGGUUUGACAUGGAUCGGGAGUGCUCAGAGAUGGGUGUGCCUCUUUUGGGGUCGGUUCACAGGUGGUGCAUGGCUGUCGUCAGCUCGUGUCGUGAGAUGUUGGGUUAAGUCCCGCAACGAGCGCAACCCUUGUUCACUGUUGCCAGCACGUUAUGGUGGGGACUCAGUGGAGACCGCCGGGGUCAACUCGGAGGAAGGUGGGGAUGACGUCAAGUCAUCAUGCCCCUUAUGUCCAGGGCUUCACGCAUGCUACAAUGGCUGGUACAGAGAGUGGCGAGCCUGUGAGGGUGAGCGAAUCUCGGAAAGCCGGUCUCAGUUCGGAUUGGGGUCUGCAACUCGACCUCAUGAAGUCGGAGUCGCUAGUAAUCGCAGAUCAGCAACGCUGCGGUGAAUACGUUCCCGGG